This 8755-nucleotide long non-coding RNA is filed under the name Nicotiana tabacum (common tobacco). Its description in RNAcentral is "long non-coding RNA (NTAB_LNC008773)". Lineage: Eukaryota; Viridiplantae; Streptophyta; Magnoliopsida; Solanales; Solanaceae. The record is from RNAcentral.
GGAAAUGAGAAUAGUAACGUUGUAAUUCAAACAAGCAAGAAAGCAAUUCUUUCUUGAUUUAGAAAUUUCAAAUAACAGAAUGAACGAAAUUUGCUCAAUAUCUCAACAAGCAUGAAGCUUGACCUUUUGUUCAAGAAAUUCGAAGAAGCAGAAGCUUAAUCCGAUUUUUGCGGAUCUAACGAAGUAUGUUGUAACCUUUUUCCAAGGAUAUCAUACGGAUUUUCCUUACUCCAGGUAUGUUAAGGCUAAUCCUUCUUUCUUUGAGCAUGAUCCAAGUAACGAUACGUAAACGUAAUGUUAUUCCAUAAAUGGUUCUACUCUUAGCAGUUAAGGAUUUAUCUUUUCAAGUCGUUCUAUCCUUCCAAUAGCUUUGUGGAAGUAUAAUUCUGUGUUUUAAACAUCUUAUGCUCCAGUUAUCAAGAAGAGGUAAUUAAGAAAAUGAAGGAGAUUUCCUUUUAUAGGUUGCAGGUAUUUAAGUAUAUGAUUAGCAUUUAUGAUCCAUCACAAAUGGAAGCUAAGAAAUUUUUAAGUAUAGGAUAUGGUUCUGGACAGUUUUGGCAAAUUAAAACAUGAAUUAUUAACAAACAAAGGAAGUGCAAUAUAUUGAUACUUUUUUAUCUUCGUAGAAUGCCUUUAUGCCACUUAGAUAAAUGGAGAAGUAUGCAAAGAUAAUGUACGAAUGUGUGUAGUAUUGUCACUAAGGUAAUAGGAAAAACAAAUAGAUCUUUGCACAUAAACAUCAAAUAACCCUUUGUAAACUAAAUUGUUCUGAUUGACCUGUUAUGUGUCCAUAUGUGUGUGUAUUUCGGGAAACAUGACCACAACUUUAUGACCCAGUGAAUAUUGAAAUAAUGUUUUUUGAAUUAUCAGAAGUAACUUGUAUAGCUUUUAAGAUAAUGCAAAUAAGCACGUUGGAUUUCUGAUAUUCAAGCAUGUCUAAGUAUGUUCCUAAGUCUCGAUCGAGGUAUUUAAUAAAGAUGUUAACGUUCAUAAUAUAGUAAUACAUGCAUAUGUAUUUACCACCGAGCUAUGGCCGGUGGGCAGUUACAUAUUUACCACUGUGCUACGCCUGGUUGGACAGACAUGCAUUUACCACUGGGCUAUGGCCGGUCGGACAGUUACCACCGGUUGGGCAGCUAUGUAUCAUUAUUUACCACCGGUUGGGUAGUUACAUAUUUACUUCCGAGCUACGGCUGGUCGGACGUCAUAUAUUUACCACCGUGCUACGACCGAUCGGACAGUAACCACUGAUCAGUUGGGUAGUUAACGUCACGAAAGUGAGGUAACUAGAACUAUUGUAUUGUUGUUUUAUUUAUAUAUAUGACAUGGAUUUUAUUCUAUAUGUUAUGGUCCUCAGCGGCAAGUCAGAAGUUAUAAGUUGACUCUUAUCUUUCCCCGAGAUAAUAUCUUAUUAUCAUUACGUUUUGUUGUUACCUUACAUACUCGGUACAUUCUUCGUACUGACGCCCUUUUUUGGGGCGUUGUGUUUCAUGCCACAUAGGUGUAGAUAGGCGAGGUGAGGAUCAUCCGUUGUAGGCUGCCUCCAGAUAUCAACUUUUGGUUGGUGAGCUCCACAUCAUCCUGGAGUACCGAGUCACGUUCUAUAUAUGUUACUUUGUUUUAUAAGGAUGUUAGGGACCCUGUCCCGACUUAUAUGUUAUGGUCAUAUUUUCUUAGAGGUUUUGUAGACAGUGUCAUGUGUAUAGCUUUAGGUAUGACAUGUCAACGGCCUUGUCGGCCCCUAUAUAUCUAUAUAAAUGCUUUUGAAUUAGUUACGUGAGUUAAGUUCUAAUAUUGUUAAUUACAUAUAUAGAUGUGGCCUAUCAUGGCCCGUGACGAGAUUUAUAGAGAAAAAAAAGGAAUAAGGUACGUGGCGCUUGGCUGAGUAGACAUCGGGUGCCAGUCGUGGCCCUCUAAUAUGGGUCAUGACAAAGUGGUAUCAGAACAGUUUUAUCCUAGGGUUGUCUGCAAGUCGUGUCUAGUAGAGUCUUGUUUAUAAAUGUAUUGUGCACCACAUUAUAUAAUCAAGAAACUACGGGGCAUUUAGGGACCGGUUACCCUUCCUUCUUGAUAUUAGAUCGUGCAAUAUCAUAGGGAACAAAGCCCUUGACCAUUGACUUGUUUUAUAUAUACAGCAAUGCCUAUGACCAGGAAUGCUACAACUAGUCAGAAGGGUAAGGUAGUGGUAGAUGAGGGAAUGAGUAAAGUACCAAUGUCUAGUGAGGGCUAGAGUGAGACCCCGAGGGGAAAUAUGACACCCUCGCAUAGUUCUCCGAUUUCGUCGGCACCCGAGGAGAUGACGAGGAACCCAGUACCUCCACCUAUUGUUCAGGAUGAGGAUAUGGAUAUACAGAGUGCAGUACAAUUAUUGACUAGGUUGGUAGCCGCUCAGGGUCAGCGCUAGGUAGGUACAAGUGUUGGUCACGUUAACAGGGUAAUUAGUGCAAGAGUUCGAGACUUCAUUAACCUGGACCCUCUAGUGUUUACCGGAUCCAACAAGAAUUAGGACCCGCAAAACUUUAUUGAUAGGAUGCAGAGGACUUUGAGGGUAAUGCAUGCAUCAGACACUAAGUCAGUAGAGUUGGCCUCAUACCGAUUGCGGGAUGUUGCGGUUUAGUGGUAUGAAACUUGGGAAUUGUCUAGAGGUAAAAAUGCAUCUCCAGCAGUAUGGGAAGAGUUCCAAGGGCUUUCCUGCGUCAUUACUUGCCGGUAGAGAUUCGUCAAGCAAGGGUAGACAGGUUCUUGGCUCUUAAAUAAGGGAAUAUGAGUGUGUGGGAGUAUAGUCUCCAGUUUUAUUCCUUGUCAAGAUAUGCCCCUUCGAUUGUGGCUGAAAUGAGUGACCAAAUCGAUUUGUGGUAGGACUUUGGCCGCACCUGAUUAAUGAAUGCUCCACGGCCGCUCUGCUUGAUGGUAUGGAUAUUUCCUACAUCCAAGCUUAUGCUCAGAAUUUGGAGGAUCGGAAACGACAGCAAUACGAGAAUCGUGAUGAGGGUCAACGUAAGAACGCCAGGUCUAUUAGGCGACCUGAGGAUUUUUCGGGCGAUCCUAUGUCACCAUAUCCAGUCGAAAGUAUCCGACUGUUGCAGAAGUCGUAUUAUGAGGGAUCUGUCUAUUCUAAAUCAGGUCAGGGCUCGAGAAUUUUGGGUUUUCAGAAUCUGAGGGAUUCAGCAGACGAGGACGCCUCCUCCACGGUGCAGUCAAUACGGUAGAGCUCAUUCUGGACAAUGUCGUCAGGGAUCUAAUGUAUACUAUACCUGUGAAGACCCUAGUCAUUACAUGAGGGAUUGUCCUAUGAAUGACAGAAGCAGGAUGGUUCAUCCCACCAAAUCUAUAACAAUUUCCUCCUCUUCAGUAUGCCCUCAAGAGCGAGGCCCUCAGGGAUCAGCUGGGAGAGGUAGAGGCAGAGGUGGAGCAUCUAGCUUCGGCGGUAGUCAGAACCGCAUAUAUGCUUUGGCAGGUUGUCAGGACCCAGAGGCUACACCGGAUGAUGUGUCAGGUAUUGUGAUUAUUGGUAAAGUUCGAUCUUAUUAACGCAAAUUGUCCAGUUAAUAUGAUUAAUAUAAGAGUAAGUUGACAUUACGCCUGAAGGGUUAAGGGAUAACAAGGCUAGCUUGAAAGCAAAGCAUGAAUCCGUUUAUUAAGAUUACAACUAAUAGGUGUCAACGCCUAGAAGAUAGAUUAACAAAAUCUUAGGUAACGACUGGAUUAGGAAGUAGUGUUAGGGACGGACGACGUCCUGACCCUGUGAGAGCCUGAUAUUUGUUUCAUUGGAGUUUAGCCCAGGAAGAUAUAUACAUUUAUAAUAGAUGGAUAUGUAUGUACAUCUUCAAAGUUUAUACAUUCGAGGACAAAUGUUUCUAAGGGGGGAAGGAUGUUACAUCUCGCAUUUUCGUACGUUAAAAGUUUCGUCUUCAGUUAAUUGACAUAGACUCGGGGGUGAGAUCGUCUUGACAUUAACGUACUUACGCUAUUUAUAACAAGCGAUAAAUAAGUAUUAUGAAGGAUAAAGGGGUAUACGGAUUAAAGAAAAUGAGUUUCGCUGAAAGUGGCCAAAUUGGAAUAAAAUACUAGUCGAGCGAUAAUACUCGAUAAUUAUGAACUAGUACCAUGCAAGGUACCAUAUGACCACGGUAGUAUAAUAUAUAAAGUAUAUAUGCAGUAUUUUAAAAUAAUAAAUAGAAUCUUAAGUAAUUUGUGAUAAUUUUUAAUUAUACGGGUAUUAAUUAAUUAUCGGGUAACAAAACAUUACCCGAUUAACUAAUAAGUGGAUAAAUAAUUAAUAAUUAACCCCCCCCCCCCACGUGGCAAAGAGCCACAAACCAAGAAGUGACUAAGUAGUCACUUAUGCCUAGGUGGCAACCUAGGCUUGAAGGGAACAAAUGACUAUCCAAAGUCUUGUUACAUUUCCUUAUGGAAAUGAGAACAGUAACGUUGUAAUUCAAACAAGCAAGAAAGCCAUUCUUUCUUGAUUUGGAAAUUUCAAAUAACAGAAUGAACGAAAUUUGCUCAGUAUCUUAACAAGCAUGAAGCUUGACGUUUUGUUCAAGAACUUCGAAAAAGCAGAAACUUAAUCCGAUUUUUGCGGUUCUAAUGAAGUACGAUAUAACCUUUUUCCAAGGAUAUCAUAUGGAUUUUCCCUACUCCGGUAUGUUAAGGCUAAUUCUUCUUUCUUUUAGCAUGAUCCAAGUAACGAUACGUAAAUGUAAUGUUAUUCCAUAAAUGGUUCUACUCUUAGCAGUUAAGGAUUUAUCUUUUCAAGUCUUUCCAUCCUUCCAAUAGUUUUGUGGAAGUAUAAUUGUGUGUUGUAAACAUAUUAUGCUCCAGUUAUCAAGAAGAGGUAAUUAAGAAAAUGAAGGAGAUUUUCUUUUAUAGGUUGCAGGUAUUAAUGUAUAUGAUUAGCAUUUAUGAGCCAUCACAAAUGGAAGCUAAGAAAUUUUUAAGUAUAGGAUAUGGUUCUGGACAAUUUUGGCAAUUUAAAACAUGAAUUAUUAACAAACAAAGGAAGUGCAAUAUAUUGAUACUUGUUUUAUCUUCGUAGAAUGCCUUUAUUCCUCUUAGAUAAAUGGAGAAGUAUGUCAAGAUAAUGUACGAAUGUGUGUAGUAUUGUAACUAAGGUAAUAGGAAUAACAAAUAGAUCUUUGCACAUAAACAUCAAAUAACCCUUUGUAAACUAAAUUGUUUUGAUUAACCUGUUAAGCUAUUAUGUCACAUAGCAAUUGUGUCUCUGUGUCCAUAUGUGUGUGUGUUUCGGGAAACAUGACCACAACUUUAUGACCCAGUGAAUAUUGAAAUAAUAUUUUUUGAAUUAUCGGAAGUAAUUUGUAUAGCUUUUAAGAUAAUUCAGAUAAGCACGUUGGAUUUCUGAUAUUCAAGCAUGUCUAAGUAUGUUCCUAAGUCUCUAUUAAGGUAUUUAAUAAAGAUGGUAAUGUUCAUAAUAUAGUAAUACAUGCAUAUGCAUUUACCACCGAGCUACGGCCGGUUGGGCAGUUACAUAUUUACUAUCGUGCUACGGCCGGUCGGGCAGUUAACACCAGUUGGGCAGUUAUGUAUCAUUAUUUACCACCGGUUGGGCAAUCACAUAUUUACUUUCGAGCUAUGGCCGGUCGGGCAGUCAUAUAUUUACUAUCGUGCUACGGCCUGUCGGGCAGUUACCACUGAUCAGUUGGGCAGUUAACAUCACGAAAAUGAGGUAACUAGAACUAUUGUAUUGUAGUUUUAUUUAUAUCUAUAAUAUGGAUUUUAUUCUAUAUGUUACGGCCCUCAGCGUCAAGUUAGAAGUUAUAAGUUGACUCUUAUCUUUCCCCGAGAUAAUAUCUUAUUAUCAUUACGUUUCGUUGUUACCUUACAUACUCGGUACAUUCUUCGUACUAACGCCCUUUUUUGGGGCGCUGUGUUUUAUGCCACACAGGUGUAGAUAGGCGAGGUGAGGAUCAUCUAUUGUAGGCUGCCUCCAGAUAUCAGCUUUUGGUUGGUGAGCUCCACAUCAUCCUAGAGUAUUGCCGAGUCAGGUUCUAUAUAUGUUACUUUGUUUUAUAAGGAUGUCAAGGACCCUGUCCCGACUUAUAUGUUAUGGUCAUGUUUUCUUAGAGGUUUUGAAGAAAGUGCCCUGUGUAUAGCUUUAGGUAUGACAUGUCAACGGUCUCGUCGGCCCCUAUGUAUCUAUAUAAAUCAUUUUGAAUUAGUUACGUGAGUUAAGUUCUAAUAUUGUUAAUUACAUAUAGAUGUGGCCUAUCAUGGCCCAUGACGAGAUUUAUAGAAAAAAGGGAAUAAGGUACGUGGUGCUCGGCUAAGUAGACACCGGAUGCCAGUCGUGGCCCUCUGAUAUGGGUCAUGAUAUGGUCCUUCAUGGACCCUAUUUGGACUGAGGUCAGCCGUUGAGUAGGUCCGUUGAGGUCGUCCUCGUCGGCUCUUACCUCAUCACAGUAGGCAUUGUGUAUCUUGUCCCAAGUGGUCAGAGGUAUUUCAUGAGGCGGCUUAGCAACUUUUUGGUCGCCCUUGACCCACUUAUUCUUAGCCCAUUUUGGAAAGCGGCUACCGCCAUCCUUUCAUAUACAUUUGGAAGGGUCAUUCUUAUACGGUUGAAUCGGGCAAGGAAGCCUUGGAGUCCCUCGCCAGGCGAUUGCUUAAUGGCAAAUAUGUCGUUCACCCUCGCCUGGGCUUUCUUAGCCCCGGCAUGGGCAGUGACGAACUUGUCUGCCAUCUCCUUGAAUGUUUUUAUGGAAUGCGCAUGUAGCUAUGAGUACCAAGUCAGCGCUCCCCUAGUUAGGGUUUCGCUAAAUUUCUUCAGCAAUAUGGACGACACUUGUUCUUUGGCGAGGUCAUUGCCUUUCACUGCAGUGACAUAGUGGGUCACAUGAUCCUCAGGGUCCAUCGUGACGUCGCAUAUUUUCAGGUACAAAUGCAUUUUGAAGGUUUUGGGUAUUGCGUGUGGUGGAACUUCGUUGUUGUAUGGUUGCUCAACAAACCGACCGACGUCCCUUUUUGGAAGAAGUUUUGGGGCGCCUGGUAUUUUGUCUACCCUUUCCUGAUGCUCUUUCAUUUGGUUACGGAGCAUUUUAUUCUCGUUCUACAUCUCUUCCAUUUUCCUCAUAUUGGUUGUGAGGGUGUUGUUACCAGCACCAAUAACAUUGUGAGUAAUACCUAUUACGGAGGGGGCAUGUUGCUCGUCAGCUGGUGGUGCAACGCAAACCCCUGCCUCUUCCCGGUUCGGCCAUUAAGAGGGCUCGACAAGGAAACUGGUUAACGUGUUUGUCAACCACGCCUCGAGCAAUUUUUUUACUGUCGCUGGUGCCUCUUCUGUUGUAGAUGUAGAGGCCCAUUUACCGUGCGAGGUCGUGAUGCUACCAUGAGGAGGAGGCGAGCUGUUUUGCCUGAGAGAGGUGUUUGGUGUCACCUCCUUGCCCUCUGUUUCAUUUGCUUUGUUGAUGGUAUGGAGGAGGUUGGUGGUGAGGUCAGCUAUCGCCUCCAUUUUUUCCUCUUUGUUGCCUUUCAUGUUAGAUUUGUGCACAAAAGGAAGUAUAGGGUUUUAGCAUUGUUUUUUUUUCGAUCUAGAAGAAACUAAAAUUUUAACUAGAAAAUGCCCACAUACGGCACCAAAUUAUUUUACCAAAAAGUACGAAACAUUUUCUUAAGUUAAUUAAAUAAGAGGAUGAUGGGUAAAUCCUAGUUAAACAUAAUAAAUCCUAGAUUUGAAAUAUAUUUAUACAAAUAACGUAGAAUUGCAUUUAAACUAAUUUAAUACAAUGGGUAUUAAAUGAUACUGCUACAAGUGAGUAGGAGGACAAUGAUAAGAAAUAAAUAUAUUAAAUGGCAAUAAAUGUAAAUUGAGAGAAUGAUUCACCCAAAUAUUGAAUGAGGUGGAUGAUUCUUCUCUCUGACAAUGAUGCAAGACAAAUUAACGUGGGAAUAUAGAGAGCUUUCUCGGAUUUGAUGCGAGAAAGUGUGGGAUAAACAACAAAUUGAAUUUUUAUGGAAAGGCAAUUCUUGUAAUUUACUUCAGAGUCAACUUUUCAUGAGAGUUCUUAUCAUAUAGAAUAAUACAUAUCCCUUUUUUUUUCUACCCUUUUCUUUAUAUGGGAUAUAUCCAUUAUCUAACAUAAAGUACAAGUGCAGAGAAUAUUCAACUAAAUAUUCUCCUAAAAUAUCCUGCUACGAAACUAGCUGUUAUGACCGACCAGAUUAUUCGACCUCGACCUCGGUUACUUAGCUCGCCAAUAAGUUCCUUCCAUCUCGAGUACGACCUCGGUCUAAUCGGCUCUUAGCAAUCUACCUUUGAGCAAGAUUCCCUUGGUUAGAUUUUGAUCCAUACACUAUUUUUGUUAUAUUUCUUCAUUGUAUCAUUUUCAUUAUUUUUCAUUUUCAUAAUGUCAUAUAUAUCUGUUCGGUUUUCUUUUUUAUUUCAGUAGGGUCUUGACCUGACCUCAUAAUUAUUCUACCGAGGAUAGGCUUGAUACUUACUGGUUACUACUGUUGUUUACUCAUGCUAUGCCUUCUUCACAUCUUUUUGUGCAGAUCUAGGUAUCUCUUACCAGCCUAGACACCAGUGAGUCGAGCUCGGAUUUGGAGACUUCAAGGUAUACUUGUCGGAGUCCGCAGAACUUGGAGUCAUCCUCUAUAUAGAUCUUUCUUCUUUUAUUAGAUAUUGUUAUAUUUGGAUGUUCAGUAUACUCUUGUAGAGCUUGUGACUUGGUAUCACCGGAUUUUGGGAGUUUUGUAUUGUUGAGUUGUGAAGUCCUUUUUAUGAUAGUUGGUGGUU